GACGAACGCUGGCGGCGUGCUUAACACAUGCAAGUCGAACGGAAAGGCCCUGCUUUUGUGGGGUGCUCGAGUGGCGAACGGGUGAGUAACACGUGAGUAACCUGCCCUUGACUUUGGGAUAACUUCAUGAAACUGGGGCUAAUACCGGAUAGGAGCUCCUGCUGCAUGGUGGGGGUUGGAAAGUUUCGGCGGUUGGGGAUGGACUCGCGGCUUAUCAGCUUGUUGGUGGGGUAGUGGAUUACCAAGGCUUUGACGGGUAGCCGGCCUGAGAGGGUGACCGGCCACAUUGGGACUGAGAUACGGCCCAGACUCCUACGGGAGGCAGCAGUGGGGAAUAGUGCACAAUGGGCGGAAGCCUGAUGCAGCAACGCCGCGUGCGGGAUGACGGCCUUCGGGUUGUAAACCGCUUUCGCCUGUGACGAAGCGUGAGUGACGGUAAUGGGUAAAGAAGCACCGGCUAACUACGUG
Molecule: ribosomal RNA, 468 nt
Filed under: uncultured bacterium
Lineage: Bacteria
Description: partial 16S ribosomal RNA
Rfam family: Bacterial small subunit ribosomal RNA
Source: RNAcentral